Molecule: unclassified non-coding RNA, 18 nt
Filed under: Mus musculus (house mouse)
Lineage: Eukaryota; Metazoa; Chordata; Mammalia; Rodentia; Muridae
Description: oocyte_clustered_small_RNA6597
Source: RNAcentral
CUAGUCUUGGGUCAGGGG